CAAACAAUGGGUCAGGAAAUGCGUUGUUUUUCUUCAAAACAAAAGCUGAUUGCCAUUACAUAAGUCACUUUAGCAUCAUGAGACUGCUGCUUGAUAAAUUCAGAAAUAAACCAAAAAACAAGACACGCAAAAAUAAAAAACAAAAUAAUGAUGCUCUCUCCACACUGGGAUAAAUAAAAACAAACAGAUCACAUCUAAUGUGGACAUAUCAGACGCCUUGUGAAACACUAAAGGAAAAAUUCAGUUUCGAGCUAUGGCACUUGCCACAUAGAUGUGAGGGGCCUUGCACUAAUAGUGAUAGUUACCACUGCAUUAAGAAAUUGAAAGCAUUUAUGCAGACAAGGAUGAUACUUUAUAUGUUUGGCUACCACUUCAAAUGCCUCCACUAAGUGUUACAAUGCUGCAUGCAGCCAUACUAAGGAUCUCGCAGCAACACCUGCAGGUAAAAAGCAAAAAGCAGUCAAAGUGCUGGUGUGUACUGGACACUAUGUUUGAAAACUUUUAGGCAAGAGGAGUGCAAGAAGCAGACAUAACAACUGCAUUUAUUUCCAUAAUUCCCCAUUUGAAUGGCCUUUUCUUUUUGCUUAGACAAUGCCUACGCCUAGCCACAGCAGCUCCCUCAUACAGACUUGGCAAGCCAAGAGGCCGUGGAGGCAAAUGCAGGCAGCCAGCACACCCCGAACAGCCACCUUGACUGCGGGUGUGUCACCCUAGUCACCAAGGAAACAUUUGAGGGAAAGCGACAGGCAAUGUGAACAGCCACUUCUCCAUGUAAACGAUACUCUUUCUCUCGGAUGACUCCUACGCCUCGCCACGCCAGCACACUUGUGCACAAAGAUGCCACGGAGGCACGUGCAGGUCAGAGGCAAGAAGCAGUGGCACUGGUGUCGACAUUCGCCCAAUUUCUUUUUCUUACACUGAGGCAGCCAGCACACCUCGAACAGCCACCUUAACUGCGGGUGUAUUAGUAGAUUCCUGUUGUACAUAUGCUCAUAAUAAACUUCAGUAAACUUGAACUUGAUAAUAAACUUGAAGGCAAACGGGA
Molecule: long non-coding RNA, 1045 nt
Filed under: Dermacentor andersoni
Lineage: Eukaryota; Metazoa; Arthropoda; Arachnida; Ixodida; Ixodidae
Description: uncharacterized LOC126531735
Source: RNAcentral